RNAcentral lists this ribosomal RNA (427 nucleotides) under uncultured bacterium. RNAcentral's name for it is "partial 16S ribosomal RNA". It matches the Rfam family "Bacterial small subunit ribosomal RNA", at positions 355 to 774 of the family's 1533-position model. The record is from RNAcentral.
UGGGGCAUAUUGCACAAUGGGCGCAAGCCUGAUGCAGCCAUGCCGCGUGUAUGAAGAAGGCCUUCGGGUUGUAAAGUACUUUCAGCGGGGAGGAAGGCGAUAAGGUUAAUAACCUUUUCGAUUGACGUUACCCGCAGAAGAAGCACCGGCUAACUCCGUGCCAGCAGCCGCGGUAAUACGGAGGGUGCAAGCGUUAAUCGGAAUUACUGGGCGUAAAGCGCACGCAGGCGGUCUGUCAAGUCGGAUGUGAAAUCCCCGGGCUCAACCUGGGAACUGCAUUCGAAACUGGCAGGCUAGAGUCUUGUAGAGGGGGGUAGAAUUCCAGGUGUAGCGGUGAAAUGCGUAGAGAUCUGGAGGAAUACCGGUGGCGAAGGCGGCCCCCUGGACAAAGACUGACGCUCAGGUGCGAAAGCGUGGGGAGCAAACA